Molecule: transfer RNA, 91 nt
Filed under: Mycolicibacterium smegmatis
Lineage: Bacteria; Bacillati; Actinomycetota; Actinomycetes; Mycobacteriales; Mycobacteriaceae
Also listed under: 1 other name
Description: tRNA-Val(gac)
Source: RNAcentral
CCUGCUUCUGGCGCUCGGUGAUGCUCACGUCGUUGACGAUGGCGUCGCGGACCUCGCUGGGUUCGCUGGGUUCCAGGAUCCCGGCGCGGAC